UAGCUUGGGACAACCCUCACA
Molecule: small nuclear RNA, 21 nt
Filed under: Arabidopsis thaliana (thale cress)
Lineage: Eukaryota; Viridiplantae; Streptophyta; Magnoliopsida; Brassicales; Brassicaceae
Description: snRNA_08588
Source: RNAcentral